UACGUAGGGUGCGAGCGUUGUCCGGAAUUAUUGGGCGUAAAGGGCUCGUAGGCGGUUUGUCGCGUCGGGAGUGAAAACCCAGGGCUUAACUCUGGGCUUGCUUUCGAUACGGGCAGACUAGAGGUAUGCAGGGGAGAACGGAAUUCCUGGUGUAGCGGUGAAAUGCGCAGAUAUCAGGAGGAACACCGGUGGCGAAGGCGGUUCUCUGGGCAUUACCUGACGCUGAGGAGCGAAGUGUGGGGAGCGAACAGG
This 252-nucleotide ribosomal RNA is filed under the name uncultured bacterium. Its description in RNAcentral is "partial 16S ribosomal RNA". It matches the Rfam family "Bacterial small subunit ribosomal RNA", at positions 524 to 776 of the family's 1533-position model. The record is from RNAcentral.